This 178-nucleotide ribosomal RNA is filed under the name uncultured bacterium. Its description in RNAcentral is "partial 16S ribosomal RNA". It matches the Rfam family "Bacterial small subunit ribosomal RNA", at positions 1323 to 1500 of the family's 1533-position model. The record is from RNAcentral.
AAGCCGGAAUUGCUAGUAAUGGCAGGUCAGCAUACUGCCGUGAAUACGUUCCCGGGCCUUGUACACACCGCCCGUCACACCAUGAGAGUUGGAAAUACCCGAAGCCUGUGAGCUGACCGUAAGGGGGCAGCAGUCGAAGGUAGAGCCAAUGAUUGGGGUGAAGUCGUAACAAGGUAGC